Molecule: small nuclear RNA, 187 nt
Organism: Dromiciops gliroides (monito del monte)
Lineage: Eukaryota; Metazoa; Chordata; Mammalia; Microbiotheria; Microbiotheriidae
Product: U2 spliceosomal RNA
Exons: 1
Source: RefSeq, a predicted model, not a curated record
CUCGCUUCUCGGCUUUUUGGCUAAGAUCAAUUGUAGUAUCUGUUCUUAUCAGUUUAAUAUCUGCUACGUUCUCUGAGAACAAUAUAUUUAAUUGAUUUUGGGGGCAGGGAGAGGGAAUAGGAGCUUGCUUCAUCCUCUCCACGCAUCGACCCGGUAUCCCAGUACUUCUGGGAACGGUGUAUUUCCC